GGCCUCCUUCUGCAGGGUGAUCGAUCCCGGGGCUCCAUGGUCGAUGGCUCUGCAGAAGGAGGCC
Molecule: microRNA precursor, 64 nt
Filed under: Myotis davidii
Lineage: Eukaryota; Metazoa; Chordata; Mammalia; Chiroptera; Vespertilionidae
Description: mir-9242 microRNA precursor family
Rfam family: mir-9242 microRNA precursor family
Source: Rfam by way of RNAcentral